RNAcentral lists this ribosomal RNA (399 nucleotides) under Tolypocladium ophioglossoides. Its description in RNAcentral is "partial small subunit ribosomal RNA". It matches the Rfam family "Eukaryotic small subunit ribosomal RNA", at positions 30 to 432 of the family's 1831-position model. The record is from RNAcentral. Lineage: Eukaryota; Fungi; Ascomycota; Sordariomycetes; Hypocreales; Ophiocordycipitaceae.
GCUUGUCUCAAAGAUUAAGCCAUGCAUGUCUAAGUGUAAAUAAGUCUAUACUGUGAAACUGCGAAUGGCUCAUUAAAUCAGUUAUCGUUUAUUUGAUGAUCUCUUACUACUUGGAUAACCGUAGUAAUUCUAGAGCUAAUACAUGCUAAAAAUCCCGACUUCGGAAGGGAUGUAUUUAUUAGAUUAAAAACCAAUGCCCUCUGGGCUCUCUGGUGAUUCAUGAUAACUUCUCGAAUCGCAUGGCCUUGCGCCGGCGAUGGUUCAUUCAAAUUUCUUCCCUAUCAACUUUCGAUGUUUGGGUAGUGGCCAAACAUGGUUGCAACGGGUAACGGAGGGUUAGGGCUCGACCCCGGAGAAGGAGCCUGAGAAACGGCUACUACAUCCAAGGAAGGCAGCAGG